Molecule: ribosomal RNA, 1384 nt
Filed under: Escherichia coli
Lineage: Bacteria; Pseudomonadati; Pseudomonadota; Gammaproteobacteria; Enterobacterales; Enterobacteriaceae
Description: partial 23S ribosomal RNA
Rfam family: Bacterial large subunit ribosomal RNA
Source: RNAcentral
UGACGAGGCACUACGGUGCUGAAGCAACAAAUGCCCUGCUUCCAGGAAAAGCCUCUAAGCAUCAGGUAACAUCAAAUCGUACCCCAAACCGACACAGGUGGUCAGGUAGAGAAUACCAAGGCGCUUGAGAGAACUCGGGUGAAGGAACUAGGCAAAAUGGUGCCGUAACUUCGGGAGAAGGCACGCUGAUACGUAGGUGAAGUCCCUUGCGGAUGGAGCUGAAAUCAGUCGAAGAUACCAGCUGGCUGCAACUGUUUAUUAAAAACACAGCACUGUGCAAACACGAAAGUGGACGUAUACGGUGUGACGCCUGCCCGGUGCCGGAAGGUUAAUUGAUGGGGUUAGCGGUAACGCGAAGCUCUUGAUCGAAGCCCCGGUAAACGGCGGCCGUAACUAUAACGGUCCUAAGGUAGCGAAAUUCCUUGUCGGGUAAGUUCCGACCUGCACGAAUGGCGUAAUGAUGGCCAGGCUGUCUCCACCCGAGACUCAGUGAAAUUGAACUCGCUGUGAAGAUGCAGUGUACCCGCGGCAAGACGGAAAGACCCCGUGAACCUUUACUAUAGCUUGACACUGAACAUUGAGCCUUGAUGUGUAGGAUAGGUGGGAGGCUUUGAAGUGUGGACGCCAGUCUGCAUGGAGCCGACCUUGAAAUACCACCCUUUAAUGUUUGAUGUUCUAACGUUGGCCCCUAAUCGGGGUUGCGGACAGUGUCUGGUGGGUAGUUUGACUGGGGCGGUCUCCUCCUAAAGAGUAACGGAGGAGCACGAAGGUUGGCUAAUCCUGGUCGGACAUCAGGAGGUUAGUGCAAUGGCAUAAGCCAGCUUGACUGCGAGCGUGACGGCGCGAGCAGGUGCGAAAGCAGGUCAUAGUGAUCCGGUGGUUCUGAAUGGAAGGGCCAUCGCUCAACGGAUAAAAGGUACUCCGGGGAUAACAGGCUGAUACCGCCCAAGAGUUCAUAUCGACGGCGGUGUUUGGCACCUCGAUGUCGGCUCAUCACAUCCUGGGGCUGAAGUAGGUCCCAAGGGUAUGGCUGUUCGCCAUUUAAAGUGGUACGCGAGCUGGGUUUAGAACGUCGUGAGACAGUUCGGUCCCUAUCUGCCGUGGGCGCUGGAGAACUGAGGGGGGCUGCUCCUAGUACGAGAGGACCGGAGUGGACGCAUCACUGGUGUUCGGGUUGUCAUGCCAAUGGCACUGCCCGGUAGCUAAAUGCGGAAGAGAUAAGUGCUGAAAGCAUCUAAGCACGAAACUUGCCCCGAGAUGAGUUCUCCCUGACUCCUUGAGAGUCCUGAAGGAACGUUGAAGACGACGACGUUGAUAGGCCGGGUGUGUAAGCGCAGCGAUGCGUUGAGCUAACCGGUACUAAUGAACCGUGAGGCUUAACCUU